AAGUCGUAACAAGGUUUCCGUAGGUGAACCUGCGGAAGGAUCAUCAUCAAUUAAUUUUCCAAAACCUGGGUAUCUCUCCGCAAGGGGAGGUACUCUAAACCAAACGUGAACUGUUUUUGCCUCUGGUUGACAUUUUGAUGUAAAAAAAGUAUUGUUCUUCGGAACUUUGCUUUUUUUGGUCAAUCAGAGUGUAUACUUAUACAUCAAAACACAUUAACCAAUUGAACCGUUUUAAUUAUAUAUUGAAUUGUUUGAACUGAAUUUGUUUCUUACCUGACUUCAAAACUCAGGAAGAAAACAUAAUUUACGAAACAAUAUAAAUAUAACUCUUAGCAACGGAUAUCUUGGUUCUC
This 353-nucleotide unclassified non-coding RNA is filed under the name fungal sp. RNAcentral's name for it is "partial internal transcribed spacer region". The stretch from base 1 to 46 matches the Rfam family "Eukaryotic small subunit ribosomal RNA", at positions 1786 to 1831 of the family's 1831-position model. Lineage: Eukaryota; Fungi. The record is from RNAcentral.